UGGGUAACCUGCCUCAAAGAGGGGAAUAGCCUCCCGAAAGGGAGAUUAAUACCGCAUAAUAUGUUUAAGUCGCAUGACUUUAACAUCAAAGGAUUUUCUUUUAGAACUUCCACUUUGAGAUGGACCCGCGGCGCAUUAGCUAGUUGGUGAGGUAACGGCUCACCAAGGCAACGAUGCGUAGCCGACCUGAGAGGGUGAUCCGGCCACAGUUGGAACUGAGACACGGUCCAGACCUCCGUAGGNG
This 244-nucleotide ribosomal RNA is filed under the name uncultured bacterium. RNAcentral's name for it is "partial 16S ribosomal RNA". It matches the Rfam family "Bacterial small subunit ribosomal RNA", at positions 118 to 347 of the family's 1533-position model. The record is from RNAcentral.